GUUAUAUGGUCAAGCGGUUAAGCGCAUACGGUGGAUGCCUAGGCGACAGGAGGCGAUGAAGGACGUUGUAGCCUGCGAUAAGCUUCGGGGAGUCGGCAAACAGACUGUGAUCCGGAGAUUUCCGAAUGGGGAAACCCGACCAUCUUUAGGUGGUCAUCGUGCACUGAAUACAUAGGUGUACGAGGCGAACCCGGGGAACUGAAACAUCUAAGUACCCGGAGGAAAAGAAAUCAACCGAGAUUCCCUCAGUAGCGGCGAGCGAACGGGGACCAGCCCUUAAGCUUCUUACAUUCUAGUGGAACGUUCUGGAAAGUUCGGCCAUAGCGGGUGAUAGCCCCGUACACGAAAGGGUGUUUG
This 357-nucleotide ribosomal RNA is filed under the name Alkalilimnicola sp. S0819. Its description in RNAcentral is "partial 23S ribosomal RNA". It matches the Rfam family "Bacterial large subunit ribosomal RNA", at positions 1 to 393 of the family's 2925-position model. The record is from RNAcentral. Lineage: Bacteria; Pseudomonadati; Pseudomonadota; Gammaproteobacteria; Chromatiales; Ectothiorhodospiraceae.